CACACAGCUGGUCACACUCACCACCUAAUAGAGGGGAUGGGAAUUUGUGUCCUCCAUUGGCCCGGGGAAGGAUAAGGCCUGUCAAUGGGGGGCAGGAAAUGCCUGAACCAGAUCACACCUUGGGAGGGUGAGCCUGAAAGCCUGAGAGACUAAAGUGUCUUCAGUACCGUGAUGGAAGUGUGCUGCUCCCAUGAAUCUAGAAAGUAGACAGAACAUCACCAUCACCAUCAAGGGUCUCACCUACCAUUAAGUCAAGACAAG
Triticum aestivum (bread wheat) is the source of this 261-nucleotide long non-coding RNA. RefSeq lists it as uncharacterized. NCBI's taxonomy places the organism in Eukaryota, Viridiplantae, Streptophyta, Magnoliopsida, Poales, Poaceae. The transcript has 2 exons. The record is from RefSeq and is a predicted model, not a curated record.